Molecule: long non-coding RNA, 242 nt
Filed under: Lathyrus oleraceus (garden pea)
Lineage: Eukaryota; Viridiplantae; Streptophyta; Magnoliopsida; Fabales; Fabaceae
Description: Pisum sativum (pea) long non-coding RNA (PSAT_LNC037299)
Source: RNAcentral
AUCUAUGCGUCCAAACAAUUUUCGAAAGUUAAAUUGAAUUUUAACUCCAAAGUCACAACACAACCGACACAACAAUUACUUAAAUGAAAUCCUUUUUUAACAAACAAAAAAACAUUCUAAUCAAAAACUAUUUAAUUACUAAAUAAAAAAAACAAAUAAUUAAUUAAACUACAAACAAAAUAAUAAAUUAAUAAAUAAUUAAUUAGUUAGCAAUUUAAAAAAUUAAUCAAGGAUUCACAAAA